GCUCCCAUGGCGUAGUGGUCACUGCACUCGCCUUGCACGUGGGAGACCCGGGUUCGAUUCCUGGCGGGGUCA
Molecule: transfer RNA, 72 nt
Filed under: Diaphorina citri (Asian citrus psyllid)
Lineage: Eukaryota; Metazoa; Arthropoda; Insecta; Hemiptera; Psyllidae
Rfam family: tRNA
About the family: Transfer RNA (tRNA) molecules are approximately 80 nucleotides in length.
Source: Rfam by way of RNAcentral